This 241-nucleotide RNase MRP RNA is filed under the name Bathycoccus prasinos. RNAcentral describes it as "RNase MRP". It matches the Rfam family "RNase MRP". From Rfam's summary of the family: RNase MRP is an enzymatically active ribonucleoprotein with two distinct roles in eukaryotes. In mitochondria it plays a direct role in the initiation of mitochondrial DNA replication. In the nucleus it is involved in precursor rRNA processing, where it cleaves the internal transcribed spacer 1 between 18S and 5.8S rRNAs. Lineage: Eukaryota; Viridiplantae; Chlorophyta; Mamiellophyceae; Mamiellales; Bathycoccaceae. The record is from Rfam by way of RNAcentral.
ACGCGCUCGAAGGAUUAACUUCGGUGGAUACCCCAACGUCUUACUAAGACGGGGAAAUUUACCACGAUCACCGGGGAAAAUCCCCGCGCGUUUGAGCAGAGAGUGCUGGGCGGAAACGUCGCUCCCUUUCUCUCCGGAAGUUCUCUUUUGGAGUGGAAGACACUCGCGAUCUUUUAAACAGUCAUUUAAUCAGUCCGGACGCAACGGAUGACACAGAACGGGGUUUACUCUCGAGCUGACG